Helianthus annuus (common sunflower) is the source of this 473-nucleotide long non-coding RNA. RefSeq lists it as uncharacterized. The record is from RefSeq and is a predicted model, not a curated record. The transcript is spliced from 3 exons. Lineage: Eukaryota; Viridiplantae; Streptophyta; Magnoliopsida; Asterales; Asteraceae.
CGAAAUCUGAGGUUUACGAAGGAUUUUCGCAUGUGUUUUGUGAUGAAUCGACUCAGAACAAGCUCACUCCGAUCUUCUGGCUGCCGGAGAAAGUGUAUCUGCUUGGAGAGUCUCGGAAUUGGCUUUGGCGACGCUGAACGCUGCUUCAUUCGAAUCGAUGGGGGCUUCAUAUGCAGAAUGUUCCCUCACUUAGUGGUCUCAUGCUCACUCAAGCAGAGGUAAAGUAAAGUUUAUCACCAUUCAUCAAUUUUCUUUUCUUUUUUUUUAAGUUAAUAGUGUACUGGUUAUAACUAAUAUCAAAUCUUUACUAAUACUUGAUUUCUUUUUAUGAUGGUUGACUUUGCGAGAACUAACGGAGCAUUAGUGUCAAGAAUGGGCUGAGAUUCGAAUUCAGUCGGUUUUUCGCUCUUUUUUUGACAAAAAGGGAUCAAGAUCGGGACCGUCCAUUUGACUUCACACGGAUAACCAUAUGC